CGCGUCCUCGUUGAAGGAUCGUUUCUGGGGAUUUGAUUGAUAGCUAAGGAGAGAGAGAGAGAGAGAGAGAGAGAGAGAUCGAAGCGGUGAUGACAGGAGGAGUGCUCAAGCUCGUGAAGCCAAAGAUCCAAUCUGCGGAUAUCCAAGCCGCCGCAGGAUGGGGUAUCGCCGCCGCAGCCGGCGCCAUCUGGGUCGUCCAACCAUUUGAUUGGAUUAAGAAGACAUUCAUUGAUAAACCAGCAGCUGAAGACAAGUGAGUGAUCAAGAUCCAAGACAAAGUGAGAGAUUUUUUUUUUUCUUCCAGUUUUCAAGUUUGUUAUUGCAUCUUUGCGAUGUAGCUGAAUAAAUUUUUGGUUCUGUUCUGGGGACUUCUUGUUUCAUGACUUCAUUGUAGACAUUCUGUUUUCUCGAAUGUUAUAACACAAAGAAGCACAUUCCAAAUU
Long non-coding RNA from Brassica oleracea var. oleracea, 443 nucleotides. RefSeq lists it as uncharacterized. NCBI's taxonomy places the organism in Eukaryota, Viridiplantae, Streptophyta, Magnoliopsida, Brassicales, Brassicaceae. The transcript has 2 exons. The record is from RefSeq and is a predicted model, not a curated record.